AUACAGGAAGCACCGCCUAACUCCGUGCUACCAGCGGGGGUAAUACGGAGGGUCCAAUCUUUAAUGGGAAUUACUGGGUGUAAAGCGUGCGUAGGCGGUUUACUAAGUCAGAUGUGAAAGCCCCGGGCUUAACCUGGGAAAUGCAUUUGAUAGUGGUAGGCUAGAGUUUGAUAGAGGGGGGUAGAAUUCCUGGUGUAGCGGUGAAAUGCGUAGAUAUCAGGAGGAAUACCAGUGGCGAAGGCGGCCCCCUGGAUCAAUACUGACGCUGAGGUACGAAAGCGUGGGUAGCGAACAGGAUUAGAUACCCUGGUAGUCCACGCCGUAAACGAUGUCAACUAGCCGUUGGAGUCUUGAGACUUCGGUGGCGCAGCUAACGCGUGAAGUUGACCGCCUGGGGACUACGGCCGCAAGGCUAAAACUCAAAUGAAUUGACGGA
RNAcentral lists this ribosomal RNA (436 nucleotides) under uncultured bacterium. RNAcentral describes it as "bacterial SSU rRNA". It matches the Rfam family "Bacterial small subunit ribosomal RNA", at positions 481 to 917 of the family's 1533-position model. The record is from RNAcentral.